AACUAGCCCUGAUUGCAACGGAAAUCCUGGCAUUGCGUGCGAAAAAUUUCAACGGAUUGCUUCUUUUCUCGCAAUGACAGAUUGCAGUGGAAAGCAGGUUCCCGG
This 105-nucleotide small RNA is filed under the name Kaistella chaponensis. RNAcentral's name for it is "Chryseobacterium chaponense Flavo-1 RNA". It matches the Rfam family "Flavo-1 RNA". The record is from RNAcentral. Lineage: Bacteria; Pseudomonadati; Bacteroidota; Flavobacteriia; Flavobacteriales; Weeksellaceae.